This 62-nucleotide transfer RNA is filed under the name Bryanellocoris orientalis. RNAcentral's name for it is "tRNA-His". The record is from RNAcentral. Lineage: Eukaryota; Metazoa; Arthropoda; Insecta; Hemiptera; Rhyparochromidae.
AUUUAGAUAGUUUAUUAAGAAUAAUAAUUUGUGAUAUUGUAGGUGUUAUAUAACUCUAAAUU